Molecule: non-coding RNA, 25 nt
Filed under: Arabidopsis thaliana (thale cress)
Lineage: Eukaryota; Viridiplantae; Streptophyta; Magnoliopsida; Brassicales; Brassicaceae
Also listed under: 8 other names
Source: RNAcentral
UGCAGAUCUUGGUGGUAGUAGCAAA